GUAGCGUUAAUUUAUUUCUCAAUUAUAUUUUUCUCGUCGACAUGAUAAAUAAAUAUUAGUCUCAGCAACUGAUAAGUAUCGAUGUCGAUAUUAUCGACUUUCCCAUUCCCGGGAUACUUGUUUACGCGAUCGCCGGCGCCAUGUUGUAACGGUCCGCCGCAGCCACCAUUGUACAUCUGACUGCAGCGCUGGACGCACGUCGCUCGUGCGAGCGUUAACGGCCGCGCCUUGUUUCGCGAUGUCGAAUAUAAUACUCGUAUAGGGAACAAGUGCUGUGCCCCUAAGUUUUCGAAUAUAUUCAAGUGUAUCUGUUUUCCCCCGCUUUGGGGUCUACCCUACGGGCUAAUUCAACGUCCACGCCUGCCCUUAUCUGCUGCCCGGCGCUAACGCCAGGUUGCCACUACGCCAGGAACACCAGGACAGUAACGCCCAGCUACACACCGAUCCAAGUGCCACCACCACAGUAGGACAACGACCCACGUGAUUUAAGCCCAAUAAACCACUGCUGUACAAUUUGUA
Cydia pomonella (codling moth) is the source of this 519-nucleotide long non-coding RNA. RefSeq lists it as uncharacterized. The transcript is spliced from 2 exons. The record is from RefSeq and is a predicted model, not a curated record. NCBI's taxonomy places the organism in Eukaryota, Metazoa, Arthropoda, Insecta, Lepidoptera, Tortricidae.